Molecule: ribosomal RNA, 480 nt
Filed under: Escherichia coli
Lineage: Bacteria; Pseudomonadati; Pseudomonadota; Gammaproteobacteria; Enterobacterales; Enterobacteriaceae
Description: bacterial LSU rRNA
Rfam family: Bacterial large subunit ribosomal RNA
Source: RNAcentral
GCAAGACGGAAAGACCCCGUGAACCUUUACUAUAGCUUGACACUGAACAUUGAGCCUUGAUGUGUAGGAUAGGUGGGAGGCUUGGAAGUGUGGACGCCAGUCUGCAUGGAGCCGACCUUGAAAUACCACCCUUUAAUGUUUGAUGUUCUAACGUUGACCCGUAAUCCGGGUUGCGGACAGUGUCUGGUGGGUAGUUUGACUGGGGCGGUCUCCUCCUAAAGAGUAACGGAGGAGCACGAAGGUUGGCUAAUCCUGGUCGGACAUCAGGAGGUUAGUGCAAUGGCAUAAGCCAGCUUGACUGCGAGCGUGACGGCGCGAGCAGGUGCGAAAGCAGGUCAUAGUGAUCCGGUGGUUCUGAAUGGAAGGGCCAUCGCUCAACGGAUAAAAGGUACUCCGGGGAUAACAGGCUGAUACCGCCCAAGAGUUCAUAUCGACGGCGGUGUUUGGCACCUCGAUGUCGGCUCAUCACAUCCUGGGGCU